UCGAGAAUCUUCGGCAAUGGGCGCAAGCCUGACCGAGCGACGCCGCGUGCGGGAUGAAGGCCUUCGGGUUGUAAACCUGCUGUCAGUGGGGAGGAAGGCUCCGUGAAGAGCGGAGUUUGACCUAUCCGCAGAGGAAGUCCGGGCUAAGUUCGUGCCAGCAGCCGCGGUAAGACGAACCGGACAAACGUUAUUCGGAAUCACUGGGCUUAAAGGGUACGUAGGCGGCAGGGCAAGUUGGGUGUGAAAUCCCUCGGCUCAACCGAGGAACUGCGCCCAAAACUGCCUUGCUUGAGGGAGACAGAGGUGAGCGGAACUCGCGGUGGAGCGGUGAAAUGCGUUGAUAUCGCGGGGAACACCAGUGGCGAAAGCGGCUCACUGGGUCUCUUCUGACGCUGAGGUACGAAAGCUAGGGGAGCGAACGGGAUUAGAUACCCCGGUAGUCC
This 443-nucleotide ribosomal RNA is filed under the name uncultured prokaryote. Its description in RNAcentral is "bacterial SSU rRNA". It matches the Rfam family "Bacterial small subunit ribosomal RNA", at positions 355 to 796 of the family's 1533-position model. The record is from RNAcentral.